AACAAACCGAUUUAGAUACCCAGCCAUGUCUUCUUACGCCGAUUCUUUACUCCCUAUUUUCAUGCACAUACACAUCAGUUUGUUCCCAUAAUGAUUCUUUAUUCUCUUUCCAUAUCCUUCCAAACUCUUUCAUCUCUCUUUUUUACACUAUUUCUCUCUACCGUCUGUGCCGAAUUUCUCUAUACUCCACCCUCUCUACCUUCUUUUUCCGGUUCUUUUUCCCUCAAAGGUUAAAUUUCGUUCACUCCCUGCUAAUCUCUAUAUUCUUUCUUCCCCCAAAUGCUUACUUUGACGCCAACGAACUCUUCAAAAAAUAUUGUUGUUCACUCCACAAAUUCUCGUUUGUAAUCCUUUCAGAAUACUUUGCCCAUUUAUGCCUUAUUCAAAUAUAUUUGCAGCAAUAUUUAACUUAAAUCCUAACCUAAUUUAAUUGUAUAUGUCAUUGAGCCCCUAGACAAACAAGGAUUACGAGGCUAAAACAUGGUAAAAUAGUUGAGAUCAAUACUGUAAAUUAGGAAAUCUAUUAUCUACAUGCUCCCAGUCCUUGAGGUAAAUAUCCUCUUUCUUAGUUUAAACUUUUGUCAUUUUCUUUCAUGUUUGGUUAGUGUAUGAUGUAUCUUUGCAUUCAAAAUUUUAAACAAUAGAAAAAAUAACUUGCAUGAUGACUUAUUGUUCUGUUGCAAUUUUUGUUUGCUGGAUUAUCAUGUGUUUAUGCCUUUUUGGGUAUUUGACAUUUUAAUAUUUGAUGAUCGAUUCUUAUAAAGUUCAAGUUAAAUUUAAACUAUUUGUGUUAAUGUCUAUUGUUCUUUAUUAUCUUUAAUAUGUUUUUAUGCAGUACAUAUUGAGUUGAGGCAAAUAUUGAGCUAUGUUUUUUGUUGGAGGCUUGGGACAGUGGGACAAACAAGUAAUUUUAAGGAAUCUAAUAGGACGCUUGUGUAUUGAUGUUUUCUCCUCCUUGAGAUAGAUUUAACCACAGAGAUUUAAGUGGAUGGGUUUUAAAUUUUAAAAUAAAACAUUGCUUUCAAGGGAAAUUGAACUUCCAUCUUUUCCAGCGAACCCACAACCCUUACCGUCGAACCAAGACCCCUUUUGUUACUGGGUUCGGCAGUAUAUAUUUAUAUAGAUUUAGUAAAUAUUUCAAUACAAAUACAGGAUUCCGAAAAAAGUUAUUGGGUUUAUCCGAACCCACACUCACUACUGCAGCUCUGCCCCUGAUUACAAGACUAAUUGGAGUUUAAAGUUAAAGCACAUGGCUCGCUAUUUUACUUUUGAAAACUUCCAAGGAAGUUUACAAGGUUAAAAGUAGUUUCAUAUGAUGAUGUCUUUGUAUAAAUAUAUCAUAAUUCAUUUACUCCUUUUGUUUUUUUCUAGCUUAAUUGUUCAUAGCAGCAAAACUGUACACAGGAGAGUAGUCCUCUCUUCACUAAUCAUGUAUUUGCAUCUUUGUAUAAAAAGAAAAGACAGAAGAUGGGGAUCAUGUCCUAGCCCCACGCACAUGUGACUUUUCUAAUAAUAAAGAAAAAACUUUACUAAUAGAGUUUGAAUAAGUAAAUUCCUUUGAGGUUACUUCAAAUUUGCUAAUGAUGAUUGCAAUUUGACACAGGUUAUUGAUGGAUCCAAUAUACUAUGUGUAUCAAGUUAACUUUCUCACAAAAGAGCUACACAAAGAGGAUAUAUGCGAACAUUAGAUUGCAUAUUACAACACUUUCAUGUUGUAGUUAUAUCACCCAAUAUUUAAUCCAUGUAUUCACUAUAGGUUCUUGUAAGUUAGUCACUUAGUAGGAAUGAUUAGAUUUGAGAGAUAAAAAAUUUGUAGAUUGUGGAACUCUAUUACUCUGAAGGAAAGUUGAGACGUGUUUAUUUAUGUAUGAGAGUUAUGUCAAGAUAAAUCUACAAAAAAAAACAUGCGAUACUUUUGAUUUGAUC
Non-coding RNA from Nicotiana tabacum (common tobacco), 1926 nucleotides. The record is from RefSeq and is a predicted model, not a curated record. NCBI's taxonomy places the organism in Eukaryota, Viridiplantae, Streptophyta, Magnoliopsida, Solanales, Solanaceae.